CUUCAGGAUACAUUGACAUGAAUAUUGCGCAACAAUAAAGGUGCAUUUUAUCGAAAUAAAAGCAAACAAACUUUAUGUGCAAGCAAAGUAUUCAAUACAUAUCCGUUUUAUUGUGAAACGCAAUUAAGCAGACAGAUCACUCCACGAACUAAGAACGGCCAUGCACCACCUAUGAUACAAUCAUGAAAGGACUAGCAUAUUUAGCAUGAGAAAAUAAUUAAUUUUUAAAAAAAUUAAUUAAUCUCAUAACAACCUGUCAAUCCUCAGUACCUCUGGACCUGGUAAGAUUUCCCGCGUUGAGUCAAAUUAAGCCACAUGCUCCACGCGUUCUUGUGGUGCCCUUCCGUCAAUUCCUUCAAGUUUCACACUUGCGU
This 374-nucleotide ribosomal RNA is filed under the name Foraminifera environmental sample. RNAcentral's name for it is "partial small subunit ribosomal RNA". The record is from RNAcentral. Lineage: Eukaryota; Foraminifera.